Molecule: long non-coding RNA, 4866 nt
Organism: Anguilla anguilla (European eel)
Lineage: Eukaryota; Metazoa; Chordata; Actinopteri; Anguilliformes; Anguillidae
Exons: 2
Source: RefSeq, a predicted model, not a curated record
UUUAAAAUAUGACCAAAACCAACAAAGAUCAUUUCGGUUGUGUAAUUUAUGGACAGUUACUCAGUAGCUAAGGUCUAUGUCUGAAUCAGCCAGAUACCGGUAGCCUAAUACACUUUAGUUAGGAAGACAAACGGAAGGGACUACUGUAGGCUAUAUAAAACACUUCAAAUAGUGGCUUCUUCUGUUUUGAUUUUGUUCACCCAUUAACGAAAAUAUGCGUAACAACCGCUCAAAUGGAAUAGUAGCCUAUUACUAAUCUACAUUUAUGCAAUCUCAACUUUUAUUAAGGCCUUGUUAUUGCAUUUCCCUAUUAAGUACAAGAAUGAGGAAGUUGUAGCUUACUUGGUGUCAAAAUAAUAGGUCACUACUUGACAGCGACAUACGUAGUUCAAUAGAAGCCAUUGUUUGAUACUAACUCAAACGAAAGCCGAAAAAACACUUACCUCGAUGUGUGAGAUAUAAGAGGCUAAUCAGAUACUUCAAAAACAUAUUUUCGUGGAUUAAAGUCACGGUCCUUCCACGAAGCUUUCAGUCUUGUCGUCAGUCAUAGUGAUUUAGGCUACAUAUCCGCUGUCUCCUCCUACGAGUCCAAGGGGGUAGGCUGUACUUAUGUUAACACCCACGGAGGUUCUGCUAAACUACCAUGAAAACCUUGCCUUCCGCUAUUUUCUUAGACAUAUCCUAGUUUAUAUAUUUUCUCUAAUGAAUACAAUGACGUGAGGAUAUUAUUUAUGUAAAUAGUAACCGGACUGUUUUUGUGAAUAGUGGACAUUACAGUAUUGUCUAAUUUGUGAAUAGCACACGGACACACGCGCUCGAACGCACGUUCACGCUUUUUGUAAAUGUGAAUUAUAUUAGGCCACGCGAGUAUUAACACGUGGGCCUAGCUUAUUAGGACUUCGUGAAUAAUAGCAUAAUUAAUUAAUCGCUUAAUGAGUAUUGAUUGCACAUAUAAACAUGUUCCAUAGAUAAUUUAAAAGAAACGGGCUAAAAUAAUCAGCAUUCAUCUGGUUGUUUUAGCAUGCGUAGCUAAAGUCCUCCAAGUCGAUUCGGUCACUAUCUAAACUAUUUGACUUGUUUCAAAGGUUUACAGACUGCAGUGGGAGGCUGAUACACACGGCACAAUGUAAUCUAGCUGUUGUCACAGCUCCAAUUGCGCACUUGAGUACAGCACCAAUGUGGUUUUCGUGGAGAAAGUGAGAAAAGCGCGGUUCUGAACUACACGCUAGGUAGCAGACACCUCGCCACCAGGCGUUCACAUGCCACCACAGUUGUAAAUUACAACAACUGAAAUAGGUCAUCCAAUUUCUAAGAGGGAAAUACAUACAUUUCCCCAACAGUAGCCAUCUCCUGGCAGUAAAAUUGUACCAAUAGUGACUGUGACCGAGUAGAUUUUACUCGGAUUAUAAAUUAUUCUUGCUGGAGUCUAAACUACUGAUAUCAACGACACACAUUCCUGACCGCCGACUAGUAGCCUUCCUCCGGUGUGGCGGACCCUCGCCCUCAGCCAGCAGUUAGGUUAAUACCACUCACCUGCGCUCUCUGCAUUCCGCACGCUUCCUCUCCUGCUUAUAUUCUCAGCUCUUCUACAGAUCUUCGCCAGAUCGUUAUCCUAGCCUGUCUGCUAUCCCACGUCGGCCACACAAAAUUGUCUUGAAUUAACUCAGUACUUUUAUUCUCGUUCUCAGAUCCGUGCACCUGCCUGCUUCCCCUACACUGUCCGUUACAUCUCAGGUUCUGUCUUGUUGUAUGUUUGUCGCCUGUCCUGUUCGUUGUCGUGUCUUCGAGAUUGUUUUGUGGUCCUGUCAUUGUCUCGUCAACCCCCUCGAGUUUCCAGCUCGCCGGAUCCAGCUCGCCCUUCGCCGGCCUUCCAGUCCGGUCCAGUCCAGUCCAGCUCCGCCCUGUCCAGUCGUCGUCUUGCCAGCCCCGUGACAGCUCCACCUCCGGUCCGACUCCAGUCAGCUCCCUGCCACGAUCCACCCUGCGCCGUCACGCCGAACAGCUCCUGCACCUCGCUACGCCUAAGACCUGCCUCCGCGCCAGCGGCUCUAGUUUCCUCUCUCUCUAUUCGUUCCUGUGACGUGUUAAUACAUUUCACUGUUGUGAAUCACAGAAGUUGUCUGCGUCUGAGUCCUGCAUUUGGGGUCCCCGUGUCAUGAACAUAACAGAGUGGCCAUUUUAAAAUGGGGGUUUUUUACAUUAGCAACCAGGAGCCAGCAUUUAGGAUGUGAUUUAGAGUGAUGUUGGCACCUUCAAGGAAGUCUUUUCUCAUAUGAGGCUUUUGGCUUGACCCAACUGUGGAAAUACUGCUAUUGACACCAUUCCUACAUUCUUUGAAAUGUUCAUGGGGCAUUCUACCACUUUCUUGAGGAACAACAAAUAUAUACCAAUGUAAAUAUAUAUUUUUUUACACAGGUAUAUACCAAAUUGCAAUUCCAAGUCGAUUCGGUCACUAUCUAAACUAUUUGACUUGUUUCAAAGGUUUACAGACUGCAGUGGGAGGCGGAUACACACGGCACAAUGUAAUCUAGCUGUUGUCACAGCUCCAAUUGCGCACUUGAGUACAGCACCAAUGUGGUUUUCGUGGAGAAAGUGAGAAAAGCGCGGUUCUGAACUACACGCUAGGUAGCAGACACCUCGCCACCAGGCGUUCACAUGCCACCACAGUUGUAAAUUACAACAACUGAAAUAGGUCAUCCAAUUUCUAAGAGGGAAAUACAUACAUUUCCCCAACAGUAGCCAUCUCCUGGCAGUAAAAUUGUACCAAUAGUGACUGUGACCGAGUAGAUUUUACUCGGAUUAUAAAUUAUUCUUGCUGGAGUCUAAACUACUGAUAUCAACGACACACAUUCCUGACCGCCGACUAGUAGCCUUCCUCAGGGUAAAUAUCGUUUUUUAUUUUUUAAAAACCGCUAAUAAAACACGUCACUACUUGAAUAAGUGCAGAUUGCAUGAUUACAAGAAUGAUUAUAUGCUUCUUUCUCACUGCACAGGUUAAGGCAUAACCCAGUCUUCAAAGAAGUGUGAAGUUAUAGUCAUAAGAUUUAGUGAUGGUUAGCACAACAUUGCCGGACUUGGAUAGAAUGGUACAGAGAGAGGCGCCUGUUUCACUACAUUCAAGUGGAGUUGUGAUGCGUUUCGUGCAACAGUACAUCGCACAAGAGUAUGUUCGGGUUAAACAAAUGCCAGUAAAUCCCGAAAGCCCGGACCAUAGCUGGGGAGCACGUCGUUUAAAUACAUACCAUUUGAGGAAUUAAAGCUGUCAUGGUUUCAGAUGGACAGCCCGCCUAUAGGACACAUGUAGGACGCAUAUUAUUGUUGAAAUGAGAAAGCGGAAGGCUAGUCCUAUUGGAAAAGCUAUUGUUUUGAGUGAGAGGAAGGACACAACAACUGUCAAACCAUUAGUGGUAAUUUUAAAUGUUAAUUCAUGUUUUCUUCUUGUGUAAAAAAAAGAAGGAAAUUAUUGGAGGAGAGUAGAGGAGAGCAUGUCUCUUGCUUUGAUAAGCACGUAUAGACUUUGUAAGUAAAGUAAAUUGAAUGUGAUGACAUAUUGAAGUUAUUUCACACUGUCUUGGCAUACUCAAUUUGUGUAGGCUAAUGACAGUUUUUGUGUAAUGACACAUUUGCUUGUGUUUGUGUGCUUUGAUCUGAGGGGUCUGAAUGUAACAUGACUUUGAAAAGCUGUGCCUUAUGGAAAAUGAUUUUGCAAAAUGCCUUAAUGGCACAAACAAGUAAGAUGACAGCAAUUUUCGUGUUUGGAGUGGGUGCACAUUUAUUUUUGGUUGUCUAGAUGAAGAACAAACAUUUUUGCUCACCCUUUCCAUUGGCUCCUAAAUAUAACUAUAAUAUUGACUCAACCCUAAUAAGAUAAUGACCAUUUUCCUAAACGUAAUUCUAGCAUUUGGAGUAGAAUUAGGGCUAGGAAGCUCCGGUAAUAUUGGAAAGCUUGGAUGACAGAGAAUCUUGAUGUUGCUCAGUCACUUCCAGGCUUCAGAGGUGUUUCAAUCUGCACCUUGUUGAUGCCUCAGCCCUGUGAUUCUGGCUCUUCUAAUUCGCAUGGUCUUCACCAACCCAGUCAGAGUAAAGGGUUGUAGCCAUGGUCAAGAGCGAGGAGGUCACAGGUGGCUUGUUGUAAAAAUAUGGAAGUGAGUGUGUCAUAUCCCUUGUGUUUCUCCUGUUUUGUGUUUGCCUUACGUAUCUUGUCUCUUCUCAUACGAUCUUUGUUCUCUGUUGCAGUGUGGCGGACCCUCGCCCUCAGCCAGCAGUUAGGAUAAUACCACUCACCUGCGCUCUCUGCAUUCCGCACGCUUCCUCUCCUGCUUAUAUUCUCAGCUCUUCUACAGAUCUUCGCCAGAUCGUUAUCCUAGCCUGUCUGCUAUCCCACGUCGGCCACACAAAAUUGUCUUGAAUUAACUCAGUACUUUUAUUCUCGUUCUCAGAUCCGUGCACUUGCCUGCUUCCCCUACACUGUCCGUUACAUCUCAGGUUCUGUCUUGUUGUAUGUUUGUCGCCUGUCCUGUUCGUUGUCGUGUCUUCGAGAUUGUUUUGUGGUCCUGUCAUUGUCUCGUCAACCCCCUCGAGUUUCCAGCUCGCCGGAUCCAGCUCGCCCUUCGCCGGCCUUCCAGUCCGGUCCAGUCCAGUCCAGCUCCGCCCUGUCCAGUCGUCGUCUUGCCAGCCCCGUGACAGCUCCACCUCCGGUCCGACUCCAGUCAGCUCCCUGCCACGAUCCACCCUGCGCCGUCACGCCGAACAGCUCCUGCACCUCGCUAGGCCUACGACCUGCCUCCGCGCCAGCAGCUCUAGUUUCCUCUCUCUCUAUUCGUUCCUGUAACGUGUUAAUACAUUUCACUGUUGUGAAUCACAGAA